RNAcentral lists this long non-coding RNA (1074 nucleotides) under Felis catus (domestic cat). RNAcentral describes it as "lncRNA (ENSFCAG00000050476.1)". The record is from RNAcentral. Lineage: Eukaryota; Metazoa; Chordata; Mammalia; Carnivora; Felidae.
AUGAAGUCAGACCACAUUCCCAACUUCAGGUCCUUCUGGUGCGAGUUGGCAGGGGAGCCGGACAGGUUCUGGGUCUUCCACGCAUGGUCAUUUAGUCAGCCCCAAGCACAGACACGCUGUGCAGCCAGCCCUGGGUCACGCAGUGUGGCCGGAGCAGCUGGCACUAGGGCAGAACUGACCCUGAGGAGAGUUGGGGGGGGGGGUCCUCACAGUCGCCGAGGGCAAGGACCUUGGAAGGGGGCAUCUGUGGUGGCAGGGGUCGGGUUGCCCCCCCCCCCAGCCUGCUUCUUUGGGGUGGCCAGGGUCCCUCCCAGGUGGGCCCUGGGACCAGCCUUGGCUAACCCCCGCUCCCACUCAGACUUGGCUAGAGGUGCCAGGAGUGCUGAUGGACGUGACCCCACCCUCACCUCCCCAGGCAUGUUCCUGCGGGUGACCCAGACCCCAGCUGGGCCGUUGUCCCCACCCCACGUGGAUGAGGCCAUGGUCAGCCCCUUUUGGCCCUGGAUACUGGGCUGGGCCCCAGGACACCCCGGGAAAGUCCCCUGGGAACGUCCCCUAGUGCCAGUGGGCCCUGCACUGUGGUUCUUUCAGGGCGAUCGACCAAACCCGAGCCUCCUUUGCCUUGGUUUCCUCAACCCGGAAGUGAGGUGGCCAAGAGUCCGGCACCCCCUCAGGUCAGUCGAGCCAAACAAAGGAGGCCUUGCCAGCUGGGAGCAGGCCGCUCCUGUCUCAGGAAUGUGGGGGGCAGUCACCCGGGAGCGGGGGGGGCCCGGGUGGAGAGCAGCCCUAGCCUGGGCCUCCCCUGGGGGGCGCGGGCAUGUACCAGGCUCGAGUUGGGAGCUGACGCCUUACUUCACAGCGUCUCACUGCCCCAUUUCCCGUGCCGUGAGACGAGGCUCAGUGGGGAAGGGUGGGUCCCCCACCUGGUGCCGCCACAGGAUCUCUGCAGGCCGCCCCACUAGUUCUGACACCGGCGAGGACGCGGAGAGAGAGGAUCUCUUUGGCACUGCUGGUGGGAAUGCUGGCUGGUGCGGCCACUCUGCAAAACGGUAUGGAGGCUCCUCAAAAAAUUAA